AACGAACGCUGGCGGCAUGCCUAACACAUGCAAGUCGAACGAUGCUUUCGGGCAUAGUGGCGCACGGGUGCGUAACGCGUGGGAAUCUGCCCUUGGGUUCGGAAUAACAGUUGGAAACUACUGAUAAUACCGGAUGAAGACGAAAGUCCAAAGAUUUACUGCCUGAGGAUGAGCCCGCGUAAGAUUAGGUAGUUGGUGGGGUAAAGGUCUACCAAGCCGACGAUCUUUAGCUGGUCUGAGAGGAUGAUCAGCCACACUGGGACUGAGACACGGCCCAGACUCCUACGGGAGGCAGCAGUGGGGAAUAUUGGACAAUGGGCGAAAGCCUGAUCCAGCAAUGCCGCGUGAGUGAUGAAGGCCUUAGGGUUGUAAAGCUCUUUUACCCGGGAUGAUAAUGACAGUACCGGGAGAAUAAGCCCCGGCUAACUCCGUGCCAGCAGCCGCAGUAA
This 449-nucleotide ribosomal RNA is filed under the name uncultured bacterium. RNAcentral describes it as "partial 16S ribosomal RNA". It matches the Rfam family "Bacterial small subunit ribosomal RNA", at positions 29 to 523 of the family's 1533-position model. The record is from RNAcentral.